RNAcentral lists this non-coding RNA (27 nucleotides) under Mus musculus (house mouse). Lineage: Eukaryota; Metazoa; Chordata; Mammalia; Rodentia; Muridae. The record is from RNAcentral.
UGCACAUGCUGGUUUUUGAAAGUGAGC